RNAcentral lists this ribosomal RNA (351 nucleotides) under uncultured eukaryote. Its description in RNAcentral is "LSU rRNA". It matches the Rfam family "Bacterial large subunit ribosomal RNA", at positions 2130 to 2479 of the family's 2925-position model. The record is from RNAcentral.
CGAUCUGUGUAGGAUAGGUGGGAGGCUUUGAAACCGGGACGCUAGUUUCGGUGGAGCCGACCUUGAAAUACCACCCUGGUUUGUUUGAGGUUCUAACCUUGGCCCGUGAAUCCGGGUCGGGGACAGUGCAUGGUAGGCAGUUUGACUGGGGCGGUCUCCUCCCAAAGUGUAACGGAGGAGUUCGAAGGUACGCUUGGUACGGUCGGACAUCGUACCUAAAGUGCAAUGGCAAAAGCGUGCUUAACUGCGAGACCGACAAGUCGAGCAGGUGCGAAAGCAGGACAUAGUGAUCCGGUGGUUCUGUAUGGAAGGGCCAUCGCUCAACGGAUAAAAGGUACUCUAGGGAUAACA